GGCCUUGUCGUCUAGCGGUUUAGGACGCCGCCCUCUCAAUGCGGAGAUCGGGGGUUCGAAUCCCCUCCAGGCUACCA
RNAcentral lists this transfer RNA (77 nucleotides) under Slackia sp. RNAcentral's name for it is "tRNA-Glu". It matches the Rfam family "tRNA". Rfam says of the family: Transfer RNA (tRNA) molecules are approximately 80 nucleotides in length. Their secondary structure includes four short double-helical elements and three loops (D, anti-codon, and T loops). Lineage: Bacteria; Bacillati; Actinomycetota; Coriobacteriia; Eggerthellales; Eggerthellaceae. The record is from RNAcentral.